This is a non-coding RNA of Dipodomys spectabilis (banner-tailed kangaroo rat), 448 nucleotides long. The record is from the annotation of a RefSeq genome assembly. Lineage: Eukaryota; Metazoa; Chordata; Mammalia; Rodentia; Heteromyidae.
GCAGCCUGCUGUCGCCUCUUCUGUGACACCCAGAGCUCAGAGCCCACUAUGCACCUGAACUGGAGCUUCCUCUUCUGGGUGGCCACAGCUACAGGUGUUCACUCCCAGGUCCAGUUGAGGCAGCCUGGGGCUGAAGUGAGGAGACCUGGAGACUCGGUCAGGCUAGCUUGUAAGGCCUCUGGAUAUACCUUCACCAGCUAUUAUAUGCACUGGGUGAGGCAGAAGGCAGGACAGGGGCUUGAAUGGAUUGGAAGGAUCGAUCCUAGUGAUGGUGAGACCAAAUAUGCUCAGAAGUUCCAGGGCAAGGUCUCCCUGAUUGCAGACACCUCCUCCCGCACAGCCUCCAUGGAGCUGAGCAGGCUGACAGCUGAGGACUCGGCCAUGUACUACUGUACGAGGCACAGUGUGCACACCCACAUCCUGAGUGUGUCAGAAACCUGAGGCAACG